UGACAAAAGUGCUAUCCUUUUCCAUUAUUUGCAAGCACCCACCAUGAACAUGCAGAACCAUGCACAUGGAGAUACUUAUUGCAUAUAACAAAAAGACUGAGCGUGUCAAGUGACUGGAGUAUUCCUUUGGAGCUAUUACUGGAGGAAGGAUCUGAUAGCUGUUUAAAACUACACAAGAAACCAGCCCAGCUCAAUUGUACAAAACACAUAAAUGGUGAAUGGUGGUCGAGCAGCAGGCCAAGUCAUUGUAGGAAGACAGGGUCAACAAACAUGCUAUCGAACACUUUGUUCCAGGUAUGUGGCAGAAGGGCUAAACUAGCUCACAUCUAGUAUGUUUAUUGCAGAAAACAUUAUAAUUCAACACCUUGCCUGCAUCAGCCCUUAGAUUCUGCAUUAAUAACUAGGUGGCUAUCUGAUUUUCCAGAGAAAAGGUUGCUUUUGAAAGAGAGCAGUGACAUCUAUGAAAGCAAUUGUUGUGCUUCUUACAAUACACACACACACACACACACACAUACAUACACAUGGAGAGAGAGAGAGAGAGAGAGAGAGAGUUAACUUGCUUAGAGUACUUGUGUCUUGAACAUGCUUUGAUCUUUUAAUUGCUUGAUCCAUGGGACAGGAGGUCAGGCUAAUGGUUUUCUGGCCAUGGCUGUACAGUAUGUCUUCAUCAGUGUGCCCUGAUUAGGAUUUGGCAUUGACCCCAUACUAUUAUUUUUCCUGGACACCCCUCCAGUGGCUCCCAUAGUAGGCUCAGACACAGUAACUGCAGCAGCAUUGUUUGCCAAGAGUCCACACCAAUUCAUUCAUUUUGAAAAUGUGUAGAGAGCUCUCCCUAGGUCAUUUACCACCCGUGGUAGUGGCAACAGCAGAACCACCCCAACCACUAAUCAUAUUGCUCUCCCUCCAAUAUUGUCUACUGGUCAUUGGUGGGUGAUUCUUCCUUACUGGAGGUGACCAGGCUAGUUUCUGUUUGCAAGUCUGGUUAGUGCUCUUUGAACCUGCCUACCCUAAGAAGGCAAUAACAAAAAAAAAUCAACUGACUUAACUUUUCGUUAUUUAUGCAGAUGUAACACCCUUUUUGACUGAGUCUUUCCAAGGCAGAUUCCAACAGCAAUGUUUAAAAUGAUCAGUAAUGGAUAUUAUCAGAUUGAAUACAGGUAAUUGUAUAAGGUAGCCCCCACAUUUGCUCUGGCAACAUUAUCACAGGACCCAACAAUAUUACACACAACCUCAAGGGCACCUUAGUUCUUCCUCAGCUAAUGUGAUCUAUGCAAUCAUUUGCUAACAGUUCUCCUCUGCAGUCUACACAGGACAAACAGAACAAUCUCUACGCAAAUGAAUGAAUAAACAUAAACCAGACGUCA
Molecule: long non-coding RNA, 1364 nt
Filed under: Pogona vitticeps (central bearded dragon)
Lineage: Eukaryota; Metazoa; Chordata; Lepidosauria; Squamata; Agamidae
Description: lncRNA (ENSPVIG00000014519.1)
Source: RNAcentral